CCUACGGGUGGCAGCAGUGAGGAAUAUUGGUCAAUGGGCGCUAGCCUGAACCAGCCAAGUAGCGUGAAGGAUGACUGCCCUAUGGGUUGUAAACUUCUUUUAUAUGGGAAUAAAGUGCAGUAUGUAUACUGCUUUGCAUGUACCUUAUGAAUAAGGAUCGGCUAACUCCGUGCCAGCAGCCGCGGUAAUACGGAGGAUGCGAGCGUUAUCCGGAUUUAUUGGGUUUAAAGGGUGCGCAGGCGGGAGAUCAAGUCAGCGGUAAAAUGUCGGGGCUCAACCCCGGCCGGCCGUUGAAACUGGUUUUCUAGAGUUGGAGAGAAGUAUGCGGAAUUCGUGGUGUAGCGGUGAAAUGCAUAGAUAUCACGAAGAACUCCGAUUGCGAAGGCAGCAUACCGGCUCCAUACUGACGCUGAGGCACGAAAGCGUGGGGAUCGAACAGGAUUAGAUACCCCUGUAGUC
Molecule: ribosomal RNA, 459 nt
Filed under: uncultured bacterium
Lineage: Bacteria
Description: partial 16S ribosomal RNA
Rfam family: Bacterial small subunit ribosomal RNA
Source: RNAcentral